Molecule: long non-coding RNA, 183 nt
Organism: Eucalyptus grandis
Lineage: Eukaryota; Viridiplantae; Streptophyta; Magnoliopsida; Myrtales; Myrtaceae
Exons: 3
Source: RefSeq, a predicted model, not a curated record
CAGGUGCAGAAGAAGCGAGCUCAGAUCUCACCCGAAGAGAUCACGGAGAAGAAUAUGACUGACAUUGGCGAGAAGCUUUGUAAUUUGGAGGAGGAGGAAGCUGUCUGGAUUCGCAAGAUUGAUAUUGUUGAGAAAGGGGAUAAGUUAAUGCUUGAAGAACAAAAUGUUGAAGGAUAUUGCAAU